RNAcentral lists this ribosomal RNA (465 nucleotides) under uncultured bacterium. Its description in RNAcentral is "partial 16S ribosomal RNA". It matches the Rfam family "Bacterial small subunit ribosomal RNA", at positions 338 to 795 of the family's 1533-position model. The record is from RNAcentral.
CCUACGGGAGGCUGCAGUAGGGAAUCUUCCACAAUGGGCGCAAGCCUGCUGGAGCAACACCGCGUGAGUGAAGAAGGGUUUCGGCUCGUAAAGCUCUGUUGUUGGAGAAGAACGUGCGUGAGAGUAACUGUUCACGCAGUGACGGUAUCCAACCAGAAAGUCACGGCUAACUACGUGCCAGCAGCCGCGGUAAUACGUCGGUGGCAAGCGUUAUCCGGAUUUAUUGGGCGUAAAGCGAGUGCAGGCGGUUGCUUAGGUCUGAUGUGAAAGCCUUCGGCUUAACCGAAGAAGUGCAUCGGAAACCGGGCAACUUGAGUGCAGAAGAGGACAGUGGAACUCCAUGUGUAGCGGUGGAAUGCGUAGAUAUAUGGAAGAACACCAGUGGCGAAGGCGGCUGUCUUGUCUGCAACUGACGCUGAGGCUCGAAAGCAUGGGUAGCGAACAGGAUUAGAUACCCCUGUAGUC